Molecule: ribosomal RNA, 254 nt
Filed under: uncultured bacterium
Lineage: Bacteria
Description: partial 16S ribosomal RNA
Rfam family: Bacterial small subunit ribosomal RNA
Source: RNAcentral
UACGUAGGGUGCGAGCGUUAAUCGGAAUUACUGGGCGUAAAGCGUGCGCAGGCGGUGAUGUAAGUCGGAUGUGAAAUCUCCAGGCUCAACCUGGAGGGGUCAUUCGAUACUGCCGUGACUAGAGUUCGGUAGGGGAGUGUGGAAUUCCUGGUGGAGCGGUGAAAUGCGCAGAUAUCAGGAGGAACACCCGUAGCGAAGGCGGCACUCUGGGCCGAUACUGACACUGAGGAGCGAAAGCGUGGGGAGCGAACAGG